CCUACUCUCACACUUUACUAACUCACGCUAUCUCUAAACAAAGUUUAUAUCCUAGGAGACCCGUAAACGAAAUUUGGAAGGAUCAUCCAGUGUCUGAACUACAUGGACUAUUAACAAAGAAUUAAUUAAAUCAGAGUCCUCCAAGUAAACACUGACCGAGAAAGAUGAUCCUCCGUCCAUCCUACAAACUACUCUCUGCUCUACGUCACAUACCCAGCUACCCAACAUUCUUAUCCAGAGCGCUAGUUUCGGUAACAGUGAAUCCAGAAAAGGGUUUGGUUGAUGAGCAAUUGUCUGUGAGUGUUUCUGGUUUGAAACCUGAAGAAAAUGUCACAGUCAGUGCCACAAUCGAACAGAGCUCAAAGAAAAGAGAAACCGUUUUCAGGUCUUUCGGACAUUUCAAAGCUUCAGUUGACGGAUGUGUUAAUCUGGUCACUGACCCAUGUUUAGCUGGGACCUACACUGGAAUUGAUCCCAUGGGAUUAUUUUGGAGUAUGACUCAAGUAGUUGGAAAACAUGGUAGAAUUAAUAUUGAUGAUGCCACCAAAUCUUUGGAUUACACUGUGAUGGUCCACCCUGGUCGUAUCUCACAACAUUCCAAUCUUUUUUCUCAUAUUAAACCAUUAGGAACAAAGUUGGUUCGACGAUCGUUUAUGAGAUCUGGUGUCCGCAAAAUCACAGUUAACUACGGAAGACUUCGGGGUAGUUUAUUCAUACCAAGUGACGAAACGACCAACAGACAACGGCGACGAUAUCCUGCUGUGAUAGACCUGUUUGGUAAUGUUGGUUCUUUGAUAGAAUCCAGAGGGGCUCUGUUAGCGUCCCAUGGAUUUAUUACUUUAAGUUUGGCCUAUAUUGCAUAUAAAGACUUACCUCCAAUUGCCACAGAGGUUGAUUUUGAAUAUUUCGAAGAGGCUAUUGAGUGGCUUAUUAACCAUGAGCAGGUUUCCAGUGAGAAAGGUAUAGGUGUUCUAGGGGCAUCUCUGGGAGGGAUAAUAGCUGUAUACAUGGCGAAAGAGUGUCCGCAAGUAAGCGCUGUUAUAAGUAUUAAUGGUCUCCCAAACUUCUUUAUUUAUGGUAUCCGCCAUAAUGGUAAACAGGUGCCAUAUCGCUCUUCAACAGUCUAUGGCCUUUCUGUAAUGAAGGAUGAUGGAUUUAUAAGUACAAAUUGGAAAAUAGAGGAAUCUAAGUCGUUUUAUUUAGAUGAGACUUCCCAUAGUAAAGUACUGCUUUUAGUUGGUGGUGACGACAAAUUAUAUGACACUAGUGACUAUUUCUUCUGGUUCAACAACUUAACACCUGCGAAAAAAAGGGAUGUUGAAUUAAUUAUAUACGAAGGUGCUGGUCACAUCAUUGAAGCUCCAUACACACCAUUGUUUAACCGUAUUUAUCAUCCGAAACUCGGGCAGCCUGUUAUUUAUGGGGGUUACCCUCAACAACAUGCUGAGGCACAAGAAAAGUCCUGGUUAAAAAUCAGGGAAUUUUUUACCAAAAAUCUAUAAAAAUUUCGACUGAUUCUUAUUGGUGUUUAUAUCAGUUUGCAAUACAUCAAAUAUUUAUGAUUGCACCUGUCAGCUUGAUGCAGGGAAUUCGCUAAUUAUUUGAUCACCAUAAAUGAACUAUUUGUGCCGGUUGACCAGCAAAAAAUUGCAGAAGCGUCUUU
Molecule: unclassified non-coding RNA, 1663 nt
Filed under: Octopus sinensis (East Asian common octopus)
Lineage: Eukaryota; Metazoa; Mollusca; Cephalopoda; Octopoda; Octopodidae
Description: acyl-coenzyme A amino acid N-acyltransferase 1-like, transcript variant X1
Source: RNAcentral